RNAcentral lists this ribosomal RNA (460 nucleotides) under uncultured bacterium. Its description in RNAcentral is "partial 16S ribosomal RNA". It matches the Rfam family "Bacterial small subunit ribosomal RNA", at positions 338 to 795 of the family's 1533-position model. The record is from RNAcentral.
CCUACGGGAGGCAGCAGUGAGGAAUAUUGGUCAAUGGGCGCGAGCCUGAACCAGCCAAGUAGCGUGAAGGAUGACUGCCCUACGGGUUGUAACCUUCUUUUAUAAAGGAAUCAAGUGAGGCACGUGUGCCUUUUUGUAUGUACUUUAUGAAUAAGGAUCGUCUAACUCCGUGCCAGCAGCCGCGGUAAUACGGCGGAUCCGAGCGUUUUCCGGAUUUAUUGUGUUUAAAGGGAGCGUAGAUGGGGUGUUAAGUCAGUUGUGAAAGUAUGCGGCUCAACCGUAGAAUUGCAAUUGUUACUGGCAGUCUUGAGUACAGUUGAGGUAGGCGGAAUUCGUGGUGUAGCGGUGAAAUGCUUAGAUAUCACGAAGAACUCCGAUUGCGAAGGCAGCUUACUAAACUGCCACUGACAUUGAUGCUCGAAAGUGUGGGUAUCAAACAGGAUUAGAUACCCUAGUAGUC